This 256-nucleotide ribosomal RNA is filed under the name uncultured bacterium. RNAcentral's name for it is "partial 16S ribosomal RNA". It matches the Rfam family "Bacterial small subunit ribosomal RNA", at positions 524 to 776 of the family's 1533-position model. The record is from RNAcentral.
UACGUAGGGGGCGAGCGUUGUCCGGAUUUAUUGGGCGUAAAGAGCUCGUAGGCGGUUUGGUAAGUCGGGUGUGAAAUCUCCACGCUCAACGUGGAGGGGCCACUCGAUACUGCCAUGACUCGGAGUCCGGUAGAGGAGUGUGGAAUUCCCGGUGUAGCGGUGAAAUGCGCAGAUAUCGGGAGGAACACCCGUAGCGAAGGCGGCACUCUGGGCCGGUACUGACGCUGAGACGGCGAAAGCGUGGGGAGCGAACAGG